GCAAACAUUUAGGGGGAUGGCAUCCACAUCUGCCAGGAGUGGGGACAAAAAGGACAUCAGGUCAUCUCAAGCUGCCGCCUCCUUAGGUGGAGGGCAGAAACUCUCAUUAUCCCGCUCUGAAGAAUUCCUGUCCCGAAUCAGCACAGAACUUACAGAUGAAGCACUGUUUAUUGCUCGCUCCCAUUUGAGUAUACUGCCCAAUAAGGAAAAGAAUACAAAAGACCAAGGGACUCAGAUAUCUAGACCUGUGUUCUUCACCAAGACCCAAGGCACUGACACCCGCUCUGACAAAAAUCGAACCCGAACCAAGGCACACCUUCUGCCAUCUCCUCGUGAAAAGGGACCACUCCCCAACAGCCUGACAACGGGAGGAUGAGCGCAGUCCUCCCUAGUACCGCUCUCUCUUGGCUUCUUGCCUUCCCCCACUAUGUCCCUCAAUGAAAACCUCAAAGCCCCUCUUUUGCAGCUGGCUAAGCCUCUCAUCUUGGGAGGAACUCCUGGUCAUAAGCAAUGCCACCUUUGAAACCAAGAAAAUCUGGAACUGUUGCAGGGCCCUCCACCCUCCCUGGGCAAACGCCACUGAGAAGAAAAGGUUUCAAUAAAGAACCAGGAUGCCCGCU
This 620-nucleotide long non-coding RNA is filed under the name Mus pahari (shrew mouse). RNAcentral describes it as "lncRNA (MGP_PahariEiJ_G0004172.1)". The record is from RNAcentral. Lineage: Eukaryota; Metazoa; Chordata; Mammalia; Rodentia; Muridae.